RNAcentral lists this ribosomal RNA (253 nucleotides) under uncultured bacterium. RNAcentral describes it as "partial 16S ribosomal RNA". It matches the Rfam family "Bacterial small subunit ribosomal RNA", at positions 524 to 776 of the family's 1533-position model. The record is from RNAcentral.
UACGUAGGGUGGAAGCGUUGUCCGGAAUUAUUGGGCGUAAAGAGCUCGUAGGCGGUUUGUCGCGUCGAAUGUGAAAUCCCGGGGCUCAACCCCGGGUCUGCAUUCGAUACGGGCAGACUAGAGUUCGGUAGGGGAGUCUGGAAUUCCUGGUGUAGCGGUGAAAUGCGCAGAUAUCAGGAGGAACACCGGUGGCGAAGGCGGGACUCUGGGCCGAUACUGACGCUGAGGAGCGAAAGCGUGGGGAGCAAACAGG